CCCUUAGAUGUUCUGGGCCGCACGCGCGCUACACUGACGAAGUCAGCGAGCAUGUCCUACGCCGACAGGUGCGGGGAAUCUUGUCAAACUUCGUCGUGAUGGGGAUUGAUUAUUGAAAUUCUUGAUCAUUAACGAGGAAUUCCUAGUAAGCGCAAGUCAGCAGCUUGCGUUGAUUACGUCCCUGCCCUUUGUACACACCGCCCGUCGCUACUACCGAUUGAAUGGUUUAGUGAGAUCUUCGGAUUGGCGCCACUGCGGCUCAGCAAUGGGCUCGGUGGAUGCCGAAAAGUUGAUCAAACUUGAUCAUUUAGAGGAAGUAAAAGUCGUAACA
This 331-nucleotide ribosomal RNA is filed under the name uncultured eukaryote. RNAcentral's name for it is "partial 18S ribosomal RNA". It matches the Rfam family "Eukaryotic small subunit ribosomal RNA", at positions 1470 to 1796 of the family's 1831-position model. The record is from RNAcentral.